RNAcentral lists this ribosomal RNA (500 nucleotides) under uncultured bacterium. RNAcentral's name for it is "partial 16S ribosomal RNA". It matches the Rfam family "Bacterial small subunit ribosomal RNA", at positions 30 to 523 of the family's 1533-position model. The record is from RNAcentral.
AUUGAACGCUGGCGGCAGGCCUAACACAUGCAAGUCGAGCGGAUGACGGGAGCUUGCUCCUUGAUUCAGCGGCGGACGGGUGAGUAAUGCCUAGGAACCUGCCUGGUAGUGGGGGACAACGUUUCGAAAGGAACGCUAAUACCGCAUACGUCCUACGGGAGAAAGCAGGGGACCUUCGGGCCUUGCGCUAUCAGAUGAGCCUAGGUCGGAUUAGCUAGUUGGUGGGGUAAUGGCUCACCAAGGCGACGAUCCGUAACUGGUCUGAGAGGAUGAUCAGUCACACUGGAACUGAGACACGGUCCAGACUCCUACGGGAGGCAGCAGUGGGGAAUAUUGGACAUUGGGCGAAAGCCUGAUCCAGCCAUGCCGCGUGUGUGAAGAAGGUCUUCGGAUUGUAAAGCACUUUAAGUUGGGAGGAAGGGCAGUAAGUUAAUACCUUGCUGUUUUGACGUUACCGACAGAAUAAGCACCGGCUAACUCUGUGCCAGCCGCCGCCGUAA